CGUGAAAAGAGCGCGUCUGUGAAAACAACCCGAAAUCAAAUGCAACAAAGCGAGUGAGGCGAGGGUGCGCGACGUUGGUAAGCCGCGGUAAACUCUGGAGACUCUGUCACUCUGUUAAAUCACUUGUUGACUCGCACAGAAGCAUUAUGGCAACCCAUCGCUACACGUGCGUUGGCUUUUCGGCUAAAAUAGACUGGAAGAGCAUCGAGUUCCUGCUACCCAUGCCCGUCUACCGCAUCUGCAGUAUAUGUGGCGUGGUUCCCGACAUGAUAUUUAGCCUCGAGUGCGGCCACGUCUUUUGCACAACGUGCAUGAACGAACUGAUGUUGAACUCGCCCGUCGUCGUCUGCCCUUUCGACAAGGGGAGCUUCGAAGAAGGCCGUGUAAGCCGCGACUCGUCAUCUCAGGCGUACGUCACCGGUUGCAAGUCCUACUGUCUCAACAAAGCGAACGGGUGCAACUACGUGGGGCCCGUGUCAGAUAUGGUCGAGCACUACUACUCUGAGUGCUGCCACCACCUCGUCCACUGCCGCUCGUGCAAGAAUCCCGUCGCCAGAAUGAACGUCUUGGCUCACUUGCGGGGCGGCUGCAAGUCGGACGUGCUGGCCACGAACCAGGCGCGGACGUCGUCCGCAUCCGCUAGCGGUGGCUCCGACGCCGACGGUUCUCUGUCCAUGCUUCUGAGCAAGAUCGAGAACCUGGAGAACGUCCUUCUGACGAGGACAAAUCACCUCGAAGAAAUGCUGCGCGAACGGAUUAGCGUCGCUGCGCAGCCGCCGCCGGUCCUCACUGACGAAGUCGCUGGGACGACAAUUGAUUCACGGCCGGACACCACCACUGCGGUAGACACUACCACACAAGCCGGCGGAGAGCGACAGCAGCCCGACGUCGUGUCGGCAUCUUCAACGUCUCCGUCCGAAGAGAACGCUACGCCACUAUCCAACCGUGACGCUGCGGUAGCAGACUCCCCGCCCCAAUCGAGAGAUCAGUCGCCGUCCGAGCCUCUCACUAACGGCCUCAAUGGCGAGCCCGAGGCUGUGGUUGAGUCAACGACACCUUCAGAUGCAGCCGAAGCGCAGCCCAGUCCGGAACCUAAAGCCUUUUUCACUUACGUCUGGGUGAUCAAACCCUUCCGCAAGUACCGUAACGCGCCCCUGCAGGUCUUCACGAGCGACGUACUCACUGUGGGUGAGAACGGGUACAGGAUGAGGCUGGAAGGCAAGUUCCACGACCUGGGCGACUCGUCUCUUCACCUCGGGCUCUACAUGAGGAUCGUCAGGGGCCCCAACGACGCCUCGCUCGAAUGGCCGUUCAACCGCAAGUGCUCCUUCGUGGUCCUCCACCAUAAGCAGCGCCCCAGAGACGUAAGCUACGACGUUUUUGCCCAAAUGAACGUCGAGGAAAGGCAGAACGCGGCCAACACGGUUCUGAAGCGACCGAAAAAGAAGGAUAACGACAGCAUCGGCCUUGACAGGUGUCUGUCGGUCGCGCAACUGCUGCAGAGCGGGUUUGUCAAGAACAAUGAAUUCAGGGUGCGCUUCAUUGUUGAGUGAAGUGCUCGCCGCAUUUCGCGAAGCAAGACCUGUCGGGAUGCGAUAGACUUGCUUCCAGCCUUUGGACUGUUUUCUCGAGAGCGGUGGUGACAAAACCUUUUUAGCACACGCCCAUCCUUUUUUGUUGUUGCUGCCUCAUCAUCGGUCACAUGUCGAGAGCAUCAUAUUGUUUUAUUUGGCUGCUUGGAAUGGCUGAAUAUGGCGACUAAUGUUGAGUGAAUAGCUAACGGUCUUGCUUGCUGUGUCUUUGCCAUCAAAAGCACUGACACACCAGACCGUUUCACCAAAGCAGAUGAAAUGAUGUAGAAGUUAUGCGGCAGGCAGGCACUGCUAGUUCCGAAGCUUUCUUUUCUCUCUUUUACUGUUUCAUUAUUUGUUUCCUAACUGAUUGCCUGAACUGUGAUCUGCAUGAUAGCCAGACUUGCGAGCAUGUGGUACAAGAAUUGUGAUUAUCUGUAAGCUUACAUCAUUGAAGGUGUACCUUUCAUCAGUCGUUUUGUGUGUUUAUCACCACCACCUC
This 2073-nucleotide unclassified non-coding RNA is filed under the name Dermacentor andersoni. RNAcentral's name for it is "tNF receptor-associated factor 2-like". The record is from RNAcentral. Lineage: Eukaryota; Metazoa; Arthropoda; Arachnida; Ixodida; Ixodidae.